Molecule: ribosomal RNA, 512 nt
Filed under: uncultured bacterium
Lineage: Bacteria
Description: partial 16S ribosomal RNA
Rfam family: Bacterial small subunit ribosomal RNA
Source: RNAcentral
GACGAACGCUGGUGGCGUGCCUAAUACAUGCAAGUCGAGCGGAACUGGGGGAGCUUGCUCCUUCCAGUUUAGCGGCGGACGGGUGAGUAACACGUGGGCAACCUGCCCUGCAGAUCGGGAUAACUCCGGGAGACCGGUGCUAAUACCGAAUAGUUUGGCGCCUCUCCUGAGGCGCUACGGAAAGACGGUUUCGGCUGUCACUGCAGGAUGGGCCCGCGGCGCAUUAGCUAGUUGGUGGGGUAACGGCCCACCAAGGCGACGAUGCGUAGCCGACCUGAGAGGGUGACCGGCCACACUGGAACUGAGACACGGCCCAGACUCCUACGGGAGGCAGCAGUAGGGAAUCUUCCGCAAUGGACGCAAGUCUGACGGAGCAACGCCGCGUGAGUGACGAAGGUUUUCGGAUCGUAAAACUCUGUUGUGAGGGAAGAACACGUACCAACUAACUAUUGGUACCUUGACGGUACCUCACCAGAAAGCCACGGCUAACUACGUGCCAGCCGCCGCCGUAA